GUGACCAUCAUGAUUCUGGUUUCAAUCCAGAGCAGUGUUUUCUUUACAUACAGAUAAUCUAGAAAACUGCAUCUGGAUUGAUCCCAGGGUCAUUUUAUACAC
RNAcentral lists this microRNA precursor (102 nucleotides) under Ornithorhynchus anatinus (platypus). Its description in RNAcentral is "microRNA oan-mir-1422i precursor". The stretch from base 10 to 93 matches the Rfam family "mir-1422 microRNA precursor family". Lineage: Eukaryota; Metazoa; Chordata; Mammalia; Monotremata; Ornithorhynchidae. The record is from miRBase by way of RNAcentral.